GGGAAUGUGGCUUAGUGGUAGAGUGCUUGCCUAACAUGCAUGAAACCCUGGAUUCCAUUCCUC
This 63-nucleotide transfer RNA is filed under the name Dipodomys ordii (Ord's kangaroo rat). It matches the Rfam family "tRNA". Rfam says of the family: Transfer RNA (tRNA) molecules are approximately 80 nucleotides in length. Their secondary structure includes four short double-helical elements and three loops (D, anti-codon, and T loops). Lineage: Eukaryota; Metazoa; Chordata; Mammalia; Rodentia; Heteromyidae. The record is from Rfam by way of RNAcentral.